Molecule: ribosomal RNA, 253 nt
Filed under: uncultured bacterium
Lineage: Bacteria
Description: partial 16S ribosomal RNA
Rfam family: Bacterial small subunit ribosomal RNA
Source: RNAcentral
UACGUAGGGCGCAAGCGUUGUCCGGAAUUAUUGGGCGUAAAGAGCUCGUAGGCGGCCUGUUGCGUCCGCUGUGAAAUCCCGGGGCUUAACCCCGGGCUUGCAGUGGAUACGGGCAGGCUGGAGGCAGGCAGGGGAGAACGGAAUUCCCGGUGUAGCGGUGAAAUGCGCAGAUAUCGGGAGGAACACCGGUGGCGAAGGCGGUUCUCUGGACCACAACUGACGCUGAGGCGCGAAAGCUAGGGGAGCAAACAGG